UGCACUCACUAUUGUAAGUCGCUCUGGAUAAGAGGGUCUGCUAAAUAACGUUUU
Salmo salar (Atlantic salmon) is the source of this 54-nucleotide non-coding RNA. NCBI's taxonomy places the organism in Eukaryota, Metazoa, Chordata, Actinopteri, Salmoniformes, Salmonidae. The record is from Rfam.